This 576-nucleotide ribosomal RNA is filed under the name Triticum aestivum (bread wheat). RNAcentral describes it as "partial small subunit ribosomal RNA". Lineage: Eukaryota; Viridiplantae; Streptophyta; Magnoliopsida; Poales; Poaceae. The record is from RNAcentral.
AUGAGUUUCAUCAGGCGCUUCUUGGAGGAUUUGGAUAUUGUUGAAUCCCAAAAGUCGCGACCGGUGCCGCUGUCUGCUGCUCCGAGAGCACGUACAUGGCUGCCGCCCGAGGGUGAAGCGGUGAAGUUUAACUGUGAUGGUGCAUUAUCAAUCCUGGGCGAUAAGGGAGCGGCAGCCGUGAUUUGUCGAGACAAGUCAGGGAAGUUUCUUGGAGCAUCAGCACUAGUCUUUGAGGGCUUGAUCGACCCGGCGAGUUUGGAGGCGCAUGCGUGCAGUGAGGCACUUGCCCUUGCUCGCGAUCUGAAUGUGCAGGAGUUGGUGAUCGCGUCUGAUUGUUUAGAACUGGUCUCAAAUAUCAACACACAAGCAUCACCCGUGUAUGCACCUAUUCUGCAAGAUAUACACAUUAGCAUGAACCUUUUCGCUUCAGUUAUUUUUCGUUUUGAGCGUAGAGAAAAUAAUUUCGAGGCCCACUCGGUUGCAAAAGGAGCUGCGUCUCUGCCGGUGGGCCGCCACGUGUGGCUAGGGAUCCUUCCUGAUAUUGCUUGUAUUCCGAAUGUGAUGAACUUUGAAUAA